This 483-nucleotide ribosomal RNA is filed under the name uncultured bacterium. Its description in RNAcentral is "partial 16S ribosomal RNA". It matches the Rfam family "Bacterial small subunit ribosomal RNA", at positions 30 to 506 of the family's 1533-position model. The record is from RNAcentral.
AUUGAACGCUGGCGGCAGGCCUAACACAUGCAAGUCGAGCGGAUGAAGGGAGCUUGCUCCUGGAUUCAGCGGCGGACGGGUGAGUAAUGCCUAGGAAUCUGCCUGGUAGUGGGGGAUAACGUCCGGAAACGGGCGCUAAUACCGCAUACGUCCUGAGGGAGAAAGUGGGGGAUCUUAGGACCUCACGCUAUCAGAUGAGCCUAGGUCGGAUUAGCUAGUUGGUGGGGUAAAGGCCUACCAAGGCGACGAUCCGUAACUGGUCUGAGAGGAUGAUCAGUCACACUGGAACUGAGACACGGUCCAGACUCCUACGGGAGGCAGCAGUGGGGAAUAUUGGACAAUGGGCGAAAGCCUGAUCCAGCCAUGCCGCGUGUGUGAAGAAGGUCUUCGGAUUGUAAAGCACUUUAAGUUGGGAGAAAGGGCAGUAAGUUAAUACCUUGCUGUUUUGACGUUACCAACAGAAUAAGCACCGGCUAACUUCGU